UCCAGCAGCUGCACAGGGAGCAGCAGCCCCCGGCCUUCGACCCACGAGGUAGGAAACCUUGCUUUUCCAAAAGGUCAGGAAAAGUGACUGCUUAAGUAUUUUUCCACGAGGCUCUGUCAUUCUCGGUCAGAAAUUGUCAAGCCUAUUAGCAAGCGGCACCUCGAAGGCUGCCAAAAAAUUCUCUGCCUGCUUUUCCUGCAUGCUACCUAUGAUGGUUGAUCCAAGGCAGCAGUAGAGAUCUGUGUCCCAGAGCCACAUUGUGGAGCCUGACCAAUGUGUUUGGAUUCUUGCAGCCACCCCGGGCACUUCUGCACCCAGUGCUCCAGCUGGCAGUGCUGCUUGUGCAGCAUCGACGGCCUCCAGCUCAGGACACAACACACCUGGGGCAGAGGGAUGGCCAUCAGCAGAUCUCGGCCUUGCUGUACUGCAAAUGAUCCGGGAGAUCAGGAGAUCCCUGCCCGAAAGGUCUCCCUCUGCUCAGGAUGAUGUUAGUGUUGCCCCUGAGUCUUCAGGAGGGGAGCCUGUAGACAGAGCUGCAGCAGAGGAAAUUUCAUCUGACACGGAGAGCUGCAGGAACAGUUCCCCAGAGCCCGAGGAGCCUGAUCCCAUGUGAUCGACCUCUCCAGGAGGGCAGGAAGAGACAGAGGGAGAGCCUGGAACAUCGGGCAAGUUGAAUUCCUCUGUCUCUAGUUAUAUUUAUAGAUGUAUAUAGUUAUGUUUAUUUAUCUAGGUAGUGUAUUUAUAGAUUUAUGUAAUUAUAUUUAUGUAUCUACACAGAUAGAGAUCUGCACAGUUAAUUUCUUUUUCAUUUUAGAUGUUUAUCGUUAUAGCUUUAGAUGUGUUUUUGUAGGUGUGCACGUUUUCAUUUAUACGUGUGUAUAAUUACAUGUACAUAUAUAUAUUUCUAAAUGCAUAUUUCUAUUUUAUAUGGGGUUUUAGCUACAUAGAUUGAUAUGUGUGUGAGCCUCUUUUUAAGCUCUUACCCUGGUCUGCUUCCUCACUCACCUCUGGCUUUUCCCCCU
Long non-coding RNA from Passer domesticus (house sparrow), 1022 nucleotides. RefSeq lists it as uncharacterized. The record is from RefSeq and is a predicted model, not a curated record. The transcript is spliced from 3 exons. Lineage: Eukaryota; Metazoa; Chordata; Aves; Passeriformes; Passeridae.